Molecule: transfer RNA, 74 nt
Filed under: Chloroflexota bacterium
Lineage: Bacteria; Bacillati; Chloroflexota
Also listed under: 1 other name
Description: Chloroflexi bacterium (anaerobic digester metagenome) tRNA-Val
Rfam family: tRNA
About the family: Transfer RNA (tRNA) molecules are approximately 80 nucleotides in length. Their secondary structure includes four short double-helical elements and three loops (D, anti-codon, and T loops). Further hydrogen bonds mediate the characteristic L-shaped molecular structure. tRNAs have two regions of fundamental functional importance: the anti-codon, which is responsible for specific mRNA codon recognition, and the 3' end, to which the tRNAs corresponding amino acid is attached (by aminoacyl-tRNA synthetases). tRNAs cope with the degeneracy of the genetic code in two manners: having more than one tRNA (with a specific anti-codon) for a particular amino acid; and 'wobble' base-pairing, i.e. permitting non-standard base-pairing at the 3rd anti-codon position.
Source: RNAcentral
GGGCGACUAGCUCAGCUGGCUAGAGCAUCUCGUUUACACCGAGAAGGUCAUAGGUUCGAGUCCUAUGUCGCCCA